This 1728-nucleotide long non-coding RNA is filed under the name Capsicum annuum. RNAcentral's name for it is "long non-coding RNA (CANN_LNC003653)". The record is from RNAcentral. Lineage: Eukaryota; Viridiplantae; Streptophyta; Magnoliopsida; Solanales; Solanaceae.
UUUUGCCUGGAUGGCAGAGUGAUAUUUCUUCCAUCAGGAAGUAUUCUGACUUGCCUAAGGCUGCACGUGAGUAUGUAGAAAGGAUAGAGGAGCUUGUUGGGGUACCUACCCAUUACAUUGGUAUAGGACCUGGUCGUGAUGCCCUUAUCUAUAAAUGAUUCUAGAUUUUUUCAUCAUAUUGGCAGAAUCAUAUUCUUCAAAUUGCUGGUAAACGUUAGGCUAAGAUUGUAGUAACAUCAGGAAUAAUCAAUUUGAUGUCAUUGCUUUAUGUAACAAUAAUGUAUUUGUUGUCUUUAUCUGCAUUUGUUGUCUUAAUCCAUUAUAUAGGUAAUCUUUCCCUUCCCUUCCUACAGAACAAGGGAUUUCCCGGGGUGGUUUGAAAGUUUUUCCCUCUAAUUGGUGAUGAUUUCGAUUCUAGUAAGUUGGUGUACACAGGCAGCUACUGUAAACCUAGUCCUAUAUACCUAUUAAAAUGGUUCAAUAGUUAAGUUAACCUUUUCAAAAAAAAAUAUAAAAAUUGUUCAAUAUUUUCAGAAGUUCCAUAUUGAAGAGGAAUACAUAAGUUCAUCAUUCAAAUUGUAAGCAUUAACAAAGCUACUAGCCUCUGCUGUACCUGUAAUUGCACCCAUUGUGUCCCAAUUGUAAUUAUCAGCGUAGAAAUUUGCAACUGAAAUAUCAUCUUUCAGUGAAACUCCCGAAUCUGUGAAACAACUGAUGUUACGAUCUUGACUUUUAUCAGGCUGUUGAUCAUCUCUUUUCAGUUGUCCAAUCUGUUGAAGAAAUUCAUUCAGAUCAAUCUGAGGUUUCUCUUGAUCAUGAACCACUGCUUUGUUUCUUUUCGGGAAUUCUACUUCCUUUUUCUCCUUCACUUGUGGAAUUCUGAGGUGUGGUUGUUUAGUAUAGUUUUGUAUUUCAUUCUUGGGAUCACUGCUUGAUGGACUUGAGAAUGAUACUGCUGCCUCUGUUCUCUUAAGUUCUUGAAGUUUUUGGUGAAUUACAUGAACAUUAGGCUGAGCACAUAAGUUUCUAUUGGCUGCCAAAUAUCUGGAGAACUUCAGGAUGCAUAUUGAAUCUUCUUUAUCCCUCCUGUUUCAUGUAUCUUAAUACCAUUUUGUACUUUCCUGUAUUGUGACUUCUACUUGUUUUCUUUAUUUCAUCGAAAUAGGUGGAGUAUGAAGUUUUGCCUGGAUGGCAGAGUGAUAUUUCUUCCAUCAGGAAGUAUUCUGACUUGCCUAAGGCUGCACGUGAGUAUGUAGAAAGGAUAGAGGAGCUUGUUGGGGUACCUAUCCAUUACAUUGGUAUAGGACCUGGUCGUGAUGCCUUUCUCUACAAGUGAUUUUGGAAUUUUUUUUCAUCAUAUUGGCAAAAUCAUGUUUUUCAAAUUGUUGGAAAACCAAUCAGUUUGUUCUUAAACUGAUAUAAUUGCUGAUGUUUGGUUCAGUGUACUCAAUUGUUGGAUAAAAGGGCCAAGUCUCAUGCGAGGAUUUAUAGUCUCUGCACACACCACAUGUUACUCACUGUUUGGCAUUCAUUAAUCUAUCACCACGGGCAGGAAAGUUUCAUGUUUUUAAAUGAGUUGAAUGCUCUAAAUAUUGAUUAUGAUAAACAUAGAUUUAAAAUAUAUAUAAGCAUCUCACCUUUGCGACACCUAUCAUGCUAUAUGUAUUAUUUAUAUAGGCUAAAAGGCUCUUUCGUCCAUGAUCAACUGUUAUGGGGGCACACUUUUUC